UACGGGGGAGGCAAGCGUUAUCCGGAAUCACUGGGCGUAAAGCGUCUGAAGGUGGAGAUGCAAGUCACUGGUGCAAAACUCUGGCUCAACCGGAGGAAAGCCAGUGAAACUGCAUGACUAGAGUGUGGGAGAGGUAGAAGGAAUUCCCUGAGUAGCGGUGAAAUGCGUAGAUACAGGGAAGAACGCCGGAGGCGAAAGCGUUCUACUGGAACACAACUGACACUGAGAGACGAAAGCUAGGGGAGCGAAUGGG
This 253-nucleotide ribosomal RNA is filed under the name uncultured bacterium. RNAcentral's name for it is "partial 16S ribosomal RNA". It matches the Rfam family "Bacterial small subunit ribosomal RNA", at positions 524 to 776 of the family's 1533-position model. The record is from RNAcentral.